AACGAACGCUGGCGGCAGGCUUAACACAUGCAAGUCGAGCGCCCUCUUCGGGGGGAGCGGCGGACGGGUGAGUAACGCGUGGGAACGUGCCCUUUUCUCCGGAAUAGCCCAUGGAAACGUGGAUUAAUGCCGGAUACGCCCGGUCUUUGGAUCGGGGAAAGAUUUAUCGGAGAAGGAUCGGCCCGCGUUGGAUUAGGUAGUUGGUGGGGUAAUGGCCUACCAAGCCGACGAUCCAUAGCUGGUUUGAGAGGAUGAUCAGCCACACUGGGACUGAGACACGGCCCAGACUCCUACGGGAGGCAGCAGUGGGGAAUCUUGGACAAUGGGGGCAACCCUGAUCCAGCCAUGCCGCGUGAACGAUGAAGGCCUUAGGGUUGUAAAGUUCUUUCAGCGAGGAAGAUAAUGACGGUACUCGCAGAAGAAGCCCCGGCUAACUCCGUGCCAGCCGCCGCCGUAACAC
This 460-nucleotide ribosomal RNA is filed under the name uncultured bacterium. Its description in RNAcentral is "bacterial SSU rRNA". It matches the Rfam family "Bacterial small subunit ribosomal RNA", at positions 29 to 526 of the family's 1533-position model. The record is from RNAcentral.